RNAcentral lists this ribosomal RNA (2929 nucleotides) under Bacillus cereus. RNAcentral's name for it is "bacterial LSU rRNA". It matches the Rfam family "Bacterial large subunit ribosomal RNA". The record is from RNAcentral. Lineage: Bacteria; Bacillati; Bacillota; Bacilli; Caryophanales; Bacillaceae.
UUUGGUUAAGUUAGAAAGGGCGCACGGUGGAUGCCUUGACACUAGGAGUCGAUGAAGGACGGGACUAACGCCGAUAUGCUUCGGGGAGCUGUAAGUAAGCUUUGAUCCGAAGAUUUCCGAAUGGGGAAACCCACCAUACGUAAUGGUAUGGUAUCCUUAUCUGAAUACAUAGGGUAAGGAAGACAGACCCAGGGAACUGAAACAUCUAAGUACCUGGAGGAAGAGAAAGCAAAUGCGAUUUCCUGAGUAGCGGCGAGCGAAACGGAACAUAGCCCAAACCAAGAGGCUUGCCUCUUGGGGUUGUAGGACAUUCUAUACGGAGUUACAAAGGAACGAGGUAGACGAAGCGACCUGGAAAGGUCCGUCGUAGAGGGUAACAACCCCGUAGUCGAAACUUCGUUCUCUCUUGAAUGUAUCCUGAGUACGGCGGAACACGUGAAAUUCCGUCGGAAUCUGGGAGGACCAUCUCCCAAGGCUAAAUACUCCCUAGUGAUCGAUAGUGAACCAGUACCGUGAGGGAAAGGUGAAAAGCACCCCGGAAGGGGAGUGAAAGAGAUCCUGAAACCGUGUGCCUACAAAUAGUCAGAGCCCGUUAACGGGUGAUGGCGUGCCUUUUGUAGAAUGAACCGGCGAGUUACGAUCCCGUGCGAGGUUAAGCUGAAGAGGCGGAGCCGCAGCGAAAGCGAGUCUGAAUAGGGCGUUUAGUACGUGGUCGUAGACCCGAAACCAGGUGAUCUACCCAUGUCCAGGGUGAAGUUCAGGUAACACUGAAUGGAGGCCCGAACCCACGCACGUUGAAAAGUGCGGGGAUGAGGUGUGGGUAGCGGAGAAAUUCCAAUCGAACCUGGAGAUAGCUGGUUCUCCCCGAAAUAGCUUUAGGGCUAGCCUUAAGUGUAAGAGUCUUGGAGGUAGAGCACUGAUUGGACUAGGGGUCCUCAUCGGAUUACCGAAUUCAGUCAAACUCCGAAUGCCAAUGACUUAUCCUUAGGAGUCAGACUGCGAGUGAUAAGAUCCGUAGUCAAAAGGGAAACAGCCCAGACCGCCAGCUAAGGUCCCAAAGUGUGUAUUAAGUGGAAAAGGAUGUGGAGUUGCUUAGACAACUAGGAUGUUGGCUUAGAAGCAGCCACCAUUUAAAGAGUGCGUAAUAGCUCACUAGUCGAGUGACUCUGCGCCGAAAAUGUACCGGGGCUAAAUACACCACCGAAGCUGCGGAUUGAUACCAAUGGUAUCAGUGGUAGGGGAGCGUUCUAAGGACAGUGAAGUCAGACCGUAAGGACUGGUGGAGUGCUUAGAAGUGAGAAUGCCGGUAUGAGUAGCGAAAGACGGGUGAGAAUCCCGUCCACCGAAUGCCUAAGGUUUCCUGAGGAAGGCUCGUCCGCUCAGGGUUAGUCAGGACCUAAGCCGAGGCCGACAGGCGUAGGCGAUGGACAACAGGUUGAUAUUCCUGUACCACCUCUUUAUCGUUUGAGCAAUGGAGGGACGCAGAAGGAUAGAAGAAGCGUGCGAUUGGUUGUGCACGUCCAAGCAGUUAGGCUGAUAAGUAGGCAAAUCCGCUUAUCGUGAAGGCUGAGCUGUGAUGGGGAAGCUCCUUAUGGAGCGAAGUCUUUGAUUCCCCGCUGCCAAGAAAAGCUUCUAGCGAGAUAAAAGGUGCCUGUACCGCAAACCGACACAGGUAGGCGAGGAGAGAAUCCUAAGGUGUGCGAGAGAACUCUGGUUAAGGAACUCGGCAAAAUGACCCCGUAACUUCGGGAGAAGGGGUGCUUUCUUAACGGAAAGCCGCAGUGAAUAGGCCCAAGCGACUGUUUAGCAAAAACACAGCUCUCUGCGAAGCCGUAAGGCGAAGUAUAGGGGGUGACACCUGCCCGGUGCUGGAAGGUUAAGGAGAGGGGUUAGCGUAAGCGAAGCUCUGAACUGAAGCCCCAGUAAACGGCGGCCGUAACUAUAACGGUCCUAAGGUAGCGAAAUUCCUUGUCGGGUAAGUUCCGACCCGCACGAAAGGUGUAACGAUUUGGGCACUGUCUCAACCAGAGACUCGGUGAAAUUAUAGUACCUGUGAAGAUGCAGGUUACCCGCGACAGGACGGAAAGACCCCGUGGAGCUUUACUGUAGCCUGAUAUUGAAUUUUGGUACAGUUUGUACAGGAUAGGCGGGAGCCAUUGAAACCGGAGCGCUAGCUUCGGUGGAGGCGCUGGUGGGAUACCGCCCUGACUGUAUUGAAAUUCUAACCUACGGGUCUUAUCGACCCGGGAGACAGUGUCAGGUGGGCAGUUUGACUGGGGCGGUCGCCUCCUAAAGUGUAACGGAGGCGCCCAAAGGUUCCCUCAGAAUGGUUGGAAAUCAUUCGUAGAGUGCAAAGGCAUAAGGGAGCUUGACUGCGAGACCUACAAGUCGAGCAGGGACGAAAGUCGGGCUUAGUGAUCCGGUGGUUCCGCAUGGAAGGGCCAUCGCUCAACGGAUAAAAGCUACCCCGGGGAUAACAGGCUUAUCUCCCCCAAGAGUCCACAUCGACGGGGAGGUUUGGCACCUCGAUGUCGGCUCAUCGCAUCCUGGGGCUGUAGUCGGUCCCAAGGGUUGGGCUGUUCGCCCAUUAAAGCGGUACGCGAGCUGGGUUCAGAACGUCGUGAGACAGUUCGGUCCCUAUCCGUCGUGGGCGUAGGAAAUUUGAGAGGAGCUGUCCUUAGUACGAGAGGACCGGGAUGGACGCACCGCUGGUGUACCAGUUGUUCUGCCAAGGGCAUAGCUGGGUAGCUAUGUGCGGAAGGGAUAAGUGCUGAAAGCAUCUAAGCAUGAAGCCCCCCUCAAGAUGAGAUUUCCCAUAGCGUAAGCUAGUAAGAUCCCUGAAAGAUGAUCAGGUUGAUAGGUUCGAGGUGGAAGCAUGGUGACAUGUGGAGCUGACGAAUACUAAUAGAUCGAGGACUUACCCAUAUAA